GAUUAUCAAACCAUGGAAAAAUAUCAUACAAUAUCAUUCUUUUAGCAAACAAUCAAAACAAAUAUGAUUUUCAUGAUAAUCAUAUCAUACCGUACUAUGGGAAACUACCGUCCAAACAGACUCUAAGGCUCUUUCAAUUAUAAUAAUUGCAGUUCUAACCCAAAAUUACAUAAUAUAUUAGCAUGCCAAUUGAUGAAAAAUAUAUAUAUAUUAAGGAAGCACCAUACAAAAGGGAUUUUAUUUGUUCUUUUUUGUUAUUUGUUUGUAUUUUUGUCGAUGUAGGAUGAAACCUCCCAUGGUUUAUCAUGAUAUCACUAUCCACCACGAGAAUCGACAGCACAAGAUCUGCGGUGUGAAUCCAUCAAGUUGCUUGUAGUCCAAUCUUUUGAAUAUUACAAGUGAAAAAGCACUUCAUGAUGUUCCUAUUUUUGGGAGUCAGUAUGAGAAAGCACUUUGCCCAUAUCUUACUAAAAUCAAUUAUGAUCGUUCCCAUCAUCUUCUGAUUUCUUGGAGUCAAUUUUCGCCUUCUAUUUGAAGGUAUUGUUGCCGGAAAAUGGUAGGUUACCGUGAAAGAUCAAACCACCAAUGAAUUGGUAAAGGUGAACAUGAGAAGUUGGUUCAGUACUAUAUAGCUUGAUAAAGAUGAAAUGGGCGACUUUGCAGACUUUUGAUAUUUGGUAAAGAGGCAUUCAUAUUUCAUUAGCCUUACCCGUGUAUCACUAAAUUAUUUUGCUUAUUUUUAUUUUUAAAGUGUUUGUUAAAUAAUUUUUUAUUCCAAUUAUUAUUAUACUAAUUAGUUAUGGC
This 804-nucleotide long non-coding RNA is filed under the name Capsicum annuum. RNAcentral describes it as "long non-coding RNA (CANN_LNC015410)". The record is from RNAcentral. Lineage: Eukaryota; Viridiplantae; Streptophyta; Magnoliopsida; Solanales; Solanaceae.